ACGGAGGGGGCUAGCGUUGUUCGGAAUUACUGGGCGUAAAGCGCACGUAGGCGGCUUUGUAAGUUAGAGGUGAAAGCCCAGGGCUCAACCCUGGAAUUGCCUUUAAGACUGCAUCGCUUGAACAUCGGAGAGGUAAGUGGAAUUCCGAGUGUAGAGGUGAAAUUCGUAGAUAUUCGGAAGAACACCAGUGGCGAAGGCGGUGGUCUGGGCCGGUACUGACGCUGAGGAGCGAAAGCGUGGGGAGCGAACAGGA
RNAcentral lists this ribosomal RNA (253 nucleotides) under uncultured prokaryote. Its description in RNAcentral is "partial 16S ribosomal RNA". It matches the Rfam family "Bacterial small subunit ribosomal RNA", at positions 525 to 777 of the family's 1533-position model. The record is from RNAcentral.